RNAcentral lists this ribosomal RNA (506 nucleotides) under uncultured bacterium. RNAcentral's name for it is "partial 16S ribosomal RNA". It matches the Rfam family "Bacterial small subunit ribosomal RNA", at positions 28 to 523 of the family's 1533-position model. The record is from RNAcentral.
GAUGAACGCUAGCUACAGGCUUAACACAUGCAAGUCGAGGGGUAACAAGAGGAAAGCUUGCUUUCCUUGUCGACGACCGGCGCACGGGUGAGUAACGCGUAUCCAACCUGCCCCCAACUAGGGAAUAACCUUGCGAAAGUAAGACUAAUACCCUAUAAUUUCCUCAGAUGUCAUCUGACGAGGAAUAAAGAUUUAUCGGUUGCGGAUGGGGAUGCGUCUGAUUAGCUUGUUGGCGGGGUAACGGCCCACCAAGGCAACGAUCAGUAGGGGUUCUGAGAGGAAGGUCCCCCACAUUGGAACUGAGACACGGUCCAAACUCCUACGGGAGGCAGCAGUGAGGAAUAUUGGUCAAUGGGCGGAAGCCUGAACCAGCCAAGUAGCGUGCAGGAUGACGGCCCUAUGGGUUGUAAACUGCUUUUAUACAGGAAUAAAGUUAGCCACGUGUGGUUAUUUGUAGGUACUGUAUGAAUAAGGACCGGCUAAUUUCGUGCCAGCCGCCGCAGUAA